GAGCUGAUUGGCAAGGGCAAGGCGCUCGCCGCUGAUCUCGGCACGGAGGUCACAGCCGUUCUGCUCGGCUAUCAGGUCG
This 79-nucleotide transfer RNA is filed under the name Anaerotruncus colihominis. RNAcentral's name for it is "tRNA-Ile(gat)". The record is from RNAcentral. Lineage: Bacteria; Bacillati; Bacillota; Clostridia; Eubacteriales; Oscillospiraceae.